UUGAUAUAUAGUUUUGACAUUUAAUAAUAGUUGAGAGGCUACAGUCUUCACAGCACCCUCUACUUUUCAGCAUCCAGAAUUUACCCUUUUUUUGUACACUCAGUUCCUCCUAUGUUGAUAGCCCAGCCAACAUAUAUCAGCUCUUGCAUAUGGGUGGCAUGGACUCAAGAGACGAUCUGAGAGGAGAGAAUCAAAGAGGUAGAGGGAAGGAAAGAAAGCCUACUUUGGUCUAUGUAGUAAAGGCAGUUGGUCAAAGAGAGGAGAAAAAAAUGCCUAGACAGCAGCUGGUGAGAGAGUUAAAUUUUGAGUUGCUUGGCAGAAAAUUGGGGGCUGUAUCAGUCAGGACAGGCAGCAUCAUGCUGCAGUAAUGACAAACCCAACAAUAACAUCUCAGUGGCAAGUACCAUGAGAGGCUGCUUUUUCACUUGUUGUUACAUACACAUGAUGGUGUUCUUUCCAGAGAUGGCUGGUCUUCUGAGUCAUUUGUCAUUCUCCUUCUAGGAUGCAGGCUGAGGAGCAGCCACAAGUGAAGUGUUGCCUGUCACCUCAGCAGUGGAAAAAAGAGGGCACUUCCUCUUUUUUCAGGGACUACUCUCAUUUCUCCUGCUGGAUGUGACCAUGUUACCCUGUGGGUGACUCAGACCACCUUUGCUCCCUUCUCAGUGGCCAAACCCCAUUAUAUGACCACCAAUGAGUUGGAUAGGGCAGGGCUGUAAUGCUCCCAUAGGUAACAGGGCUUUCAAUCAAGGAAGAAUCAUGCCUUCUGCUUUAGGGUGGAAGGGAAUGUGAUCUCCUAACACUCAUAGUAGAUUAUGAGCACACAUCCUCAUGUGAAAAUACUGUGGGCACUGUGCAUAAAAUAAGAUUUGUUUAAUUAUCUCUGGUGGUGGCAGUUCCUUCCUCAAAGUCAUAUUUGUCCUCACAUCAACUGGGCUUCACACCUCCCAGAGUCACAGGGCUGGACAGGGUCUUCCUCACCUGAAGCAAUUCAUUUUGAGAUGUAUUUUCUCCCAUUCUGUAGGUUCCCUGUUCAGUCUGAUGCUAGUUUCUUUCGCUGUGCAGAAGUCUUUUAGUUCAAUUAGAUCCCAUUUGUCAAUUUUGGCUUCUGUUGCCAUUGUUUUUGGUGUUUUAGUCAUGAGGUCUUUGCCCAUGCCUAUGAUGUCCUAAAUGGUAUUGCCUAGGUUUUCUUCCAGGGUUUUUACAGUUUUAGGUCUUCCGUUUAAGUCUUUAAUCCAUCUUGAGUUAAUUUUUGUAUAAGGUAUACAAAUUUUUGUAUAAGGUAUAAUUUUGUAUAAGGAAGGGAUCCAGUUUCAGUUUUCUGCAUAUGGCACACCGCCACCAGCCCUCCCAACAGACGGGGCCUGGUCAAGACGACAGCCACUGAAAGCCACUCUCAGCAUGGAGCAGGGAGGCCUUGGGGUCGAAUUACCCUGGGAUUGAAUUACUAGAAGCACACUCAAAAUGAAGAAAGUUGCUUCUAAAAAUAGGAAAAAGAAACCCACACGGAUGAAAGUCAAAGAGGAGAAAAAGCAGAACAAAAACCAUUUGGCUUUACAAACAUCCACACAAUUUUAAAGUAGGGUUCCAUCCUGUCCCUCUGGAACAACAACGGCUAUGACGAAAAAGCAGCCAGGUUCUCUUUUCCUACAAGACCUGCUUUUUCAACUUCUUGGUGAAAUGUGAUGUAGCAGCAGAGAGGCCCAGCUUGCACCCUGAGAUCACAGGAGCGCUUGCGGGUGGCUUCAUCUUUAACCCCUUGAGGCCACCAAACAUCCAUUACCUGGCCAGGCAGAGCUGAAGACGACCCUCACGGGGCUCUAACCUGAGCCCAUAGCAAACUGUUUUCCCUGGAUCUGGGACAGAAUCCCUUCAGAAGCCCACUCAUGGGCAAGGCAGCUUCGAGUGGACUUGCAGCUGUUGAGAACUGACCUCCCAGUGGGAGCUCGGGCCUUGAUUCCCCACUGACUCCUCAAAGUGUCUCCCAGAGCCUAAACUGUCUCCCAGAGCCUGUCUCCCAGAGCCUAAACUGUCUCUCAGAGCCUAAACUGUCUUUCAGAGCCUGUCUCCCAGAGCCUGUCUCCCAGAGCCUAAACUGUCUCCCAGAGCCUAAACUGUCUCCCAGAGCCUGUCUCCCAGAGCCUAAACUGUCUCCCAGAGCCUGUUUCCCAGAGCCUAAACUGUCUCCCAGAGCCUGUCUCCCAGAGCCUAAACUGUCUCUCAGAGCCUAAACUGUCUUUCAGAGCCUGUCUCCCAGAGCCUAAACUGUCUUUCAAAGCCUAAACUGUCUUUCAGAGCCUGUCUCCCAAAGUCUGUCUCCCAGAGCCUGUCUCCCAGAGCCUGUCUCCCAGAGCCUAAACUGUCUUUCAAAGCCUAAACUGUCUUUCAGAGCCUGUCUCCCAAAGUCUGUCUCCCAGAGCCUGUCUCCCAGAGCCUAACUGUCUCCCAGAGCCUGUCUCCCAGAGCCUAAACUGUCUCCCAGAGCCUAACUGCCUCCCAGAGCCUAAACUGUCAGCUCUGCAGGGUCCUAUUCCCUGCCACCUUCGAAGCCAUCUCAGCACGACUCACCUGCUGAGUGGCAGGCAGGGCGAAUGGUCCCCUACUCACCUUUGCUGGCUUUUCAUUGACAAAUUGCCUUUGUCCAUACAAGAAAUGAAUUCUCAAGAUAUAUCUUAAAUGCCCCCUGGUUGUGAACAUGGCUGAGGGUGCUAUGUAAUAAUAAGUAGUUUUUGUCUUCAAAUAAUAAUUCUAGCAUAUGAUCAAAAGCAAAUGCAUCAAGCUUUGUAACAGGCAACAGCCCCAGCUCGGGGGUUUGGGAUGCCUUGACCAGCAGCCUGCAAACCUGGCUUCAUGGGCUCCCCGAGUGUCACAGCCGCUGACAGCCUGCUCUGUGUGGCCCCAAGGACCUCACCCAGCCGGCCACGCUCCCCGUGGCACAGUGGCCCUCCUCCGCUUCUCUCCGAAUGAUGUGAAGCAAAUGUUACUGGAGAGCCUUCUUUCUGCCCUCUGGAGCGAUUCUUCUUAAAGUGAGCUCCCUAGAGCACUGCCCUGUCCCCCAGAUGUGCCCUGGAGCUCUGAUGCCCAAAUCCAAUGCUGGAGCCCACAUGCCAGGCGUGGGAAUGCCAAAGGACACGAAGCCAGGGGAAGUAUGCUCAGAAAAUGUUCAUAAUAGGAGAAGAUGAGAACAGAGACUAAGAAGGAUAAAGGAGAGAAUAAGACCAGGAAAUACUUCCCAGAAAGAGGAGGCAGGAUUUCGCGUUCAACAGAUGAGAAAG
Molecule: long non-coding RNA, 3272 nt
Filed under: Homo sapiens (human)
Lineage: Eukaryota; Metazoa; Chordata; Mammalia; Primates; Hominidae
Description: HSALNT0324815
Source: RNAcentral